GGUCCAGCCUGCCCAGUGACAUUGUUCAACGGCCGCGGUAUCCUAACCGUGCGAAGGUAGCUAAUCACUUGUUCUUUAAAUAAGGACUAGUAUGAAAGGCACCACGAGAGUCAUACUGUCUCCUUUCCCUAAUCAGUGAAACUAAUCUCCCCGUGAAGAAGCGGGGAUAAAAAUAUAAGACGAGAAGACCCUAUGGAGCUUUAAACAAAUAACAAUUGCCCCUUAUUUCCUUAUUUCAGAAAAAUUUUCUAUCCUGGCAUCAUGAUUAUUAGUUUUCGGUUGGGGUGACCACGGAACAAAAACCAACCUCCGCAAUGAAAGCACCCACUCGCUUAAUUAAGGACUACAACCCUACACAUCAAUAAAUUGACACUAAUUGACCCAACACGUUGAUCAAUGAACCAAGUUACCCUAGGGAUAACAGCGCAAUCCACUUCAAGAGCCCCUAUCGACAAGUGGGUUUACGACCUCGAUGUUGGAUCAGGGUAUCCAAGUGGUGCAGCCGCUACUAAGGUUCSUUUGUUCAACGAUUAAAACCCUACGUGA
This 546-nucleotide ribosomal RNA is filed under the name Adenomera araucaria. Its description in RNAcentral is "partial 16S ribosomal RNA". It matches the Rfam family "Bacterial large subunit ribosomal RNA", at positions 1851 to 2603 of the family's 2925-position model. Lineage: Eukaryota; Metazoa; Chordata; Amphibia; Anura; Leptodactylidae. The record is from RNAcentral.